GCCCCGGCCCCUUCCGUAAAGGGGGACUGCGGAGGGAUCAUUACCGAGUUAUACAACUCCCAAACCCACUGUGAACCUUACCUCAGUUGCCUCGGCGGGAACGCCCCGGCCGCCUGCCCCCGCGCCGGCGCCGGACCCAGGCGCCCGCCGCAGGGACCCCAAACUCUCUUGCAUUACGCCCAGCGGGCGGAAUUUCUUCUCUGAGUUGCACAAGCAAAAACAAAUGAAUCAAAACUUUCAACAACGGAUCUCUUGGUUCUGGCAUCGAUGAAGAACGCAGCGAAAUGCGAUAAGUAAUGUGAAUUGCAGAAUUCAGUGAAUCAUCGAAUCUUUGAACGCACAUUGCGCCCGCCAGCAUUCUGGCGGGCAUGCCUGUUCGAGCGUCAUUUCAACCCUCGAGCCCCCCCGGGGGCCUCGGUGUUGGGGGACGGCACACCAGCCGCCCCCGAAAUGCAGUGGCGACCCCGCCGCAGCCUCCCCUGCGUAGUAGCACACACCUCGCACCGGAGCGCGGAGGCGGUCACGCCGUAAAACGCCCAACUUUCUUAGAGUUGACCUCGGAUCAGGUAGGAAUACCCGCUGAACUUAAGCAUAUCAAAAGCCGGGAAGAAAUCUUUUCAAAUAU
This 625-nucleotide ribosomal RNA is filed under the name Purpureocillium lilacinum. RNAcentral describes it as "eukaryotic LSU rRNA". The stretch from base 233 to 386 matches the Rfam family "5.8S ribosomal RNA". The record is from RNAcentral. Lineage: Eukaryota; Fungi; Ascomycota; Sordariomycetes; Hypocreales; Ophiocordycipitaceae.